CAAUAGCGUAUAUUAAAGCUGUUGCGGUUAAAAAGCUCGUAGUUGGAUUUCUGUCAAGGACAACUGGUCCGCCCCUCGGGUGAGCACAUAGUUUGGUCUUGGCAUCUUGUUGGAAACUGUUGCUGCACUUGGUUGUGUGGCGCAGUGUCCAGCACUUUCACUUUGAGGAAAUUGGAGUGUUUCAAGCAGGCACAUGCCUUUGGACACAGUAGCAUGGAAUAAUUAGAUUGGGCUUUUGCUCCAACUUGUCGGUUUCUGGAGCUGAGGUGAGAAUUAAUGGGGAUUGUUGGGGGCAUCCGAAUUUAGCCGUCAGAGGUGAAAUUCUUGGAUCUGCUAAAGACGGACAACUGCGAAAGCGUUUGCCCAGGAUGUUUUCAUCGA
RNAcentral lists this ribosomal RNA (381 nucleotides) under uncultured eukaryote. RNAcentral describes it as "partial 18S ribosomal RNA". It matches the Rfam family "Eukaryotic small subunit ribosomal RNA", at positions 592 to 976 of the family's 1831-position model. The record is from RNAcentral.